RNAcentral lists this ribosomal RNA (373 nucleotides) under uncultured organism. RNAcentral describes it as "partial 16S ribosomal RNA". It matches the Rfam family "Bacterial small subunit ribosomal RNA", at positions 527 to 896 of the family's 1533-position model. The record is from RNAcentral.
GUAGGUGGCAAGCGUUGUCCGGAAUUAUUGGGCGUAAAGCGCGCGCAGGCGGUCCUUUAAGUCUGAUGUGAAAGCCCACGGGCUCAACCGUGGAGGGUCAUUGGAAGCUGGGGGACUUGAGUACAGAAGAGGAAAGCGGAAUUCCAAGUGUAGCGGUGAAAUGCGUAGAGAUUUGGAGGAACACCAGUGGCGAAGGCGGCUUUCUGGUCUGUAACUGACGCUGAGGCGCAAAAGCGUGGGGAGCAAACAGGAUUAGAUACCCUGGUAGUCCACGCCGUAAACGAUGAGUGCUAAGUGUUAGGGGGUUUCCGCCCCUUAGUGCUGCAGCUAACGCAUUAAGCACUCCGCCUGGGGAGUACGGCCGCAAAGGCUG